This is a non-coding RNA of Pseudocercospora fijiensis CIRAD86, 93 nucleotides long. Lineage: Eukaryota; Fungi; Ascomycota; Dothideomycetes; Mycosphaerellales; Mycosphaerellaceae. The record is from the annotation of a RefSeq genome assembly.
GCCCUCUUAGCUCAGGGGUAGAGCGCGUCACUAGUACCUCUUGCAUACACUGCAAUCAUAUGACGAGGCCAUUGGUUCGAUUCCAGUAUGUCU